GGGAAUUUGUCAUAUGAAUGCCCUUGUCCAUUACUAGAACCUAAUGUAGUGACAGCAUAGUGUUAAUGAUUUAAUUGGUUCUUUGCUUGUUGUUGAAAAUAGCAAUAUGGUUGAGUUGAGGUUGAUGUAUGGAUCAAAGGGCUAGUAAUAAAUUGGGUUUAUUAAAUGUGUUGUGUAACAUACUGUUAACACAAAGAAUGCUUAUUGUCUUGAUUAUUCUUCCUGCUUGAGUUAUGUUUUACGUUAAGUUGGGGUUUUAUUUAUCAAUGAAAAUAAGGGUAACAAAAAACGGAUUAAAAGCUUGUUUCUAAGGGGGAUUCCCCUUG
This 326-nucleotide unclassified non-coding RNA is filed under the name Hevea brasiliensis (rubber tree). The record is from RNAcentral. Lineage: Eukaryota; Viridiplantae; Streptophyta; Magnoliopsida; Malpighiales; Euphorbiaceae.